AAAAAUUUGGACACUCUCCAAACUGCAGGAUGGUUUUAUCUGUCUACUUGUUAUCUCUUCUCAGAAAUAAUAUGACUAUAUGAUUUUCAGUUUAGUGUUGGGUUUUAAUCCACAAAAAUUAUUCAGUGGACUUUUAGUUUCUCAGCUGAAUUUAUCUAAGACCUUGUUAUGCCUUUUUCAGGGUAGUGAUAAAUAAUUAUUUCCUUUACACUUUCUGUGUGGACAGCUUCUUGGUUAAUGAAGAGCCGUCAAUUUUUCUUAGUAGCAGGCUUUGUCCUUUUUAAAUUAAUAUGAUUUUGUUUCUAAUUUAAUGUAAUCCAUCUGAGAUUUGUAUAAAGUAAUGCACUUUUUACUCAGGGUUCAAACAGAGGUUCAAGAAAAUGCAAACUAAUUCUUAAUGAUCAGCAUAUAAAUUAGGAUGCUAUCGGAUUUGUGACUGUAAAUAAUAUCUCACAUACUCUCUAAUUUCAGAGGAGUAACCCUAGAAAAAAAGAGUGAAUGAACAAGAGGUAAACCUCACUUAGAUUUUUUUUUUUUUCCCUUAUAUGAGUGCAGAGGAAUUAAUCUGACCAUGUACAUAGGAACAAACUGAAGUUCACCGUGUGCUCAUUUACCCUAGAAGCUAAUUUGCAGCCGGGUCCAAUUUUCAUUUCUAACACUUAUUUUUCUUGGUCAAUUAGGUUUUUCAGGAAGUCAGGCGUCCCCCUGUGCUGCUUCUGUAUGCAUUGAUAGCUCCUAUCCAAAUCACUCUUCCAUUGUGUCUAAUUCCACAGCCGUGUGCAGGCUGCGUGGUGCGUGUUUGCAGGUCUCGCUUCAGCAGUAAUUCCUCUACAUUUCCAAGCUGCAUUUCGGUCUGCCCCACUGCCCUGCCCGUGUGUCUCAGCCCGCUCUGGGUGGCUUUUGUCCCCCUCAGCCUGCGUGCAGAGCUCCAGCUCCCAGAACCAGGAAAGCAUUGUUGCUGGUUGUGGCUGGCUCCCCUGGGAGUACUGGUCUGGGUCAGUCUUUUCCUGUCGUGUCAGGGUAGCAGGCAGAGUUUGCUCUUUCUGUGUUACCCUGCCACUUAACAUUUCGCAAUGCCUGUUACCCGGUUGCAGCCGAACUGAUGAAAUGUGUCAGUAACCUUCUGCCGAGUCGCGACCUGAGGCGCAACCCCCGCGGUGCAUCCCUGUGUAGGUGGUGGUGACGGAGCAAAGCCCAGAGAGAAUCAGUGACCUGGUCUGCAUCAGGAUCAAGCAAAGUGAUGUCGGGACAGUAAAAAGAGACAGAAAUCUGUUGAGUUACUACUUGGAGACUGAUGACUGAGACAAAGAAAAAGUUCCGCCACCAGUUCAUGCAUCCUGAAGGAGGUGGGGAUUGUACUGCAAUCAAAGCUUGAAGACCAACGUGGGCCACUCCAGCUGAAAACUGGUAGGUGCAAUGUUCUGCCACUGCCCUCAACUACAGAAGUCUUAUUUCUCUCUGUUAGAACCUCCCUCCCUUCAACCACAAGAAACACACUGAUCAAAUAAAUGUCAUUAAUAUUUUUGCGUAUAUAUCAGGCACAAAACAAUGAGGGUCUAUUAAUGCUGUUUUAAAAUUUGUUCCCAAGAAGCUCACUUGCUCAGAAGACUCGUUUAGCAGUAAAAUCAUCUCACAGAGUCAUAGAAUCAUUUAGAUUGGAAAGGACCUCUCCCAUCACUGAGUCAACUGUUAACCCAACUGCUCAGUCCACCCCGAAGCUGUGUCCCUAAGCCAGACCUAUAUAUGGCUUUUCAGUGUCUCCAGGACUGGGGUUUCCACUACUUCUCUUGGCAGCCUGUUCCAAUGCUUGACUAUCUUUAGGUGAAAAAAGUUUUCAUAACAAUCUAAACCUCCCCUAGCAGAAUUUGAGGUCAUUUUCUCUUGUCCUAUUGCAUAUUACAUGGGAAAAGAGGCUGACCCCAGCU
This is a long non-coding RNA of Ficedula albicollis (Collared flycatcher), 1925 nucleotides long. RefSeq lists it as uncharacterized. Lineage: Eukaryota; Metazoa; Chordata; Aves; Passeriformes; Muscicapidae. The transcript is spliced from 3 exons. The record is from RefSeq and is a predicted model, not a curated record.